Molecule: ribosomal RNA, 298 nt
Filed under: uncultured bacterium
Lineage: Bacteria
Description: partial 16S ribosomal RNA
Rfam family: Bacterial small subunit ribosomal RNA
Source: RNAcentral
GAUGAACGCUGGCGGCGUGCCUAAUACAUGCAAGUCGGACGGAGCGCUUCGGCGCUCUAGUGGCGAACGGGUGAGUAGCACAUGGGCAACCUGCCUUUCAGAGGGGGACAACAGCUGGAAACGGCUGCUAAUACCGCAUAAUAUAUACAGGUCGCAUGAUUUGUAUAUCAAAGAUUUAUCGCUGAAAGAUGGACUCGCGUCUGAUUAGCUAGUUGGCGGGGUAACGGCCCACCAAGGCGACGAUCAGUAGCCGGACUGAGAGGUUGAACGGCCACAUUGGGACUGAGAUACGGCCCAG